Molecule: ribosomal RNA, 216 nt
Filed under: uncultured bacterium
Lineage: Bacteria
Description: partial 16S ribosomal RNA
Rfam family: Bacterial small subunit ribosomal RNA
Source: RNAcentral
CCGUAGCCUGGUAGCGGGGGAUAACUAUUGGAAACGAUAGCUAAUACCGCAUAAGAGUAGAUGUUGCAUGACAUUUGCUUAAAAGGUGCAAUUGCAUCGCUACCAGAUGGACCUGCGUUGUAUUAGCUAGUUGGUGGGGUAACGGCUCACCAAGGCGACGAUACAUAGCCGACCUGAGAGGGUGAUCGGCCACACUGGGACUGAGACACGGCCCAG